Non-coding RNA from Scytonema millei VB511283, 240 nucleotides. Lineage: Bacteria; Bacillati; Cyanobacteriota; Cyanophyceae; Nostocales; Scytonemataceae. The record is from Rfam.
GUCAGGGACUCCUAGUUGAGUGCAAACCCCACGAAUAAAUUCGUUGGCUCUGCAGUUAACGCAACCUGACCAGCUUCAGUCCAUUACUGGACUACGUUUAGAGAAAGUGCUAAAAGUCCCACCUACAAAUGCUUGCCAGUUUGUAGCUCUGGAACCAAACGAUUAAACACGAUGUACGGGAGUUAAAUCAGUGUCGUUUGGAGUCAGCCGACUCUAAACAGUCUUCGAGGCAAACUUUAC